RNAcentral lists this ribosomal RNA (484 nucleotides) under uncultured Pseudomonas sp. Its description in RNAcentral is "bacterial SSU rRNA". It matches the Rfam family "Bacterial small subunit ribosomal RNA", at positions 30 to 507 of the family's 1533-position model. The record is from RNAcentral. Lineage: Bacteria; Pseudomonadati; Pseudomonadota; Gammaproteobacteria; Pseudomonadales; Pseudomonadaceae.
AUUGAACGCUGGCGGCAGGCCUAACACAUGCAAGUCGAGCGGAUGAAGAGAGCUUGCUCUCUGAUUCAGCGGCGGACGGGUGAGUAAUGCCUAGGAAUCUGCCUGGGUAUGGGGGACAACGUCUCGAAAGGGGCGCUAAUACCGCAUACGUCCUACGGGAGAAAGCAGGGGACCUUCGGGCCUUGCGCUAUCAGAUGAGCCUAGGUCGGAUUAGCUAGUUGGUGAGGUAAUGGCUCACCAAGGCGACGAUCCGUAACUGGUCUGAGAGGAUGAUCAGUCACACUGGAACUGAGACACGGUCCAGACUCCUACGGGAGGCAGCAGUGGGGAAUAUUGGACAAUGGGCGAAGGCCUGAUCCAGCCAUGCCGCGUGUGUGAAGAAGGUCUUCGGAUUGUAAAGCACUUUAAGUUGGGAGGAAGGGCAGUAAGCGAAUACCUUGCUGUUUUGACGUUACCGACAGAAUAAGCACCGGCUAACUCUGUG